AUCAACUUUCGAUGGUAGGAUAGAGGCCUACCAUGGUGGUAACGGGUAACGGGGUGUUAGGGCACGACACCGGAGAGGGAGCCUGAGAAACGGCUACCACAUCCAAGGAUGGCAGCAGGCGCGCAAAUUACCCAAUCCCGACACGGGGAGGUAGUGACAAUAAAUAACAAUACGGGGUUCUUUCGGAUCUCGUAAUUGGAAUGAGUACAAUUUAAAUCUCUUAACGAGGAACAAUUGGAGGGCAAGUCUGGUGCCAGCAGCCGCGGUAAUUCCAGCUCCAAUAGCGUAUAUUAAAGUUGUUGCAGUUAAAAAGCUCGUAGUUGAAUUUCGGGACCAAUUUGUUGGUCGUGCCUCGGUACGUACUGGUAUUAUUGGUUUCUCCCUUCUGAAGAACCUCGAUGCCAUUAAUUUGGUGUCGUGGGGAAUCAGGACUGUUACUUUGAAAAAAUUAGAGUGUUUAAAGCAGGCAUACGCUUGAAUACAUUAGCAUGGAAUAAUGAAAUAGGACGUUUGAUUCUAUUUUGUUGGUUUCUAGGAUCGACGUAAUGAUUAAUAGGGAUAGUUGGGGGCAUUAGUAUUCAAUUGUCAGAGGUGAAAUUCUUGGAUUUAUUGAAGACUAACUACUGCGAAAGCAUUUGCCAAGGAUGUUUUCAUUAAUCAAGAACGAAAGUUAGGGGAUCGAAGACGAUCAGAUACCGUCGUAGUCUUAACCAUAAACUAUGCCGACUAGGGCUCGGAUGAUGUUAAUUU
This 750-nucleotide ribosomal RNA is filed under the name uncultured Glomus. Its description in RNAcentral is "SSU rRNA". It matches the Rfam family "Eukaryotic small subunit ribosomal RNA", at positions 314 to 1069 of the family's 1831-position model. Lineage: Eukaryota; Fungi; Glomeromycota; Glomeromycetes; Glomerales; Glomeraceae. The record is from RNAcentral.